GUGAAUCAUCGAAUUUUUGAACGCAAAUUGCACUCCCUGGUAUUCCGGAGAGUAUGCCUGUUUGAGGGUCAGUAUAAAUAAAAAUCGGAGUGGUUGCUGCCUUUCGUGGUGGCGCACCGGAUUUGGGUCGUUUUGCCUUCGGUUAAGUGAACUAACAUUUUACAUGAUCUUUUUCGAACGUAUUUAAAUGAUUUUACGUACGUUUGCGGUAUCUACUACUAGGUGUGGUCAUC
Molecule: unclassified non-coding RNA, 233 nt
Filed under: Glomeraceae sp.
Lineage: Eukaryota; Fungi; Glomeromycota; Glomeromycetes; Glomerales; Glomeraceae
Description: partial contains 5.8S ribosomal RNA and internal transcribed spacer 2
Rfam family: 5.8S ribosomal RNA (bases 1-71)
Source: RNAcentral